GGUUAAGUUACAAAGGGCGCACGGUGGAUGCCUUGGCACUAGGAGCCGAUGAAGGACGGAACUAAUACCGAUAUGCUUCGGGGAGCUAUAAGUAAGCUUUGAUCCGGAGAUUUCCGAAUGGGGGAACCCAGUACACAUCAGUGUAUUGCUUGUCAGUGAAUACAUAGCUGGCCGGCGGCAGACGCGGGGAACUGAAACAUCUCAGUACCCGCAGGAAGAGAAAGAAAACUCGAUUCCCAUAGUAGCGGCGAGCGAAGUGGGAAGAGCCCAAACCGAGAAGCUUGCUUCUCGGGGUUGUAGGACUGGACAUUGAGUUACCAAAGUCCGACGUAGUCGAAGUCAGCUGGAAAGCUGCGCCACAGAAGGUGAAAGCCCUGUAAGCGAAACGUCGAACCCUCCGUCCAGGAUCCUGAGUACGGCGGAACACGUGAAAUUCCGUCGGAAUCCGGGAGGACCAUCUCCCAAGGCUAAAUACUCCCUAGUGACCGAUAGUGAACCAGUACCGUGAGGGAAAGGUGAAAAGCACCCCGGAAGGGGAGUGAAACAGUUCCUGAAACCGUGUGCCUACAAUUAGUCAAAGCCCGUUAAUGGGUAAUGGCGUGCCUUUUGUAGAAUGAACCGGCGAGUUACGUUUGCUUGCGAGGUUAAGAUGAAAAAAGUCGGAGCCGUAGCGAAAGCGAGUCUGAACAGGGCGAAUGAGUAAGCAGAUGUAGACCCGAAACCAAGUGACCUACCCAUGACCAGGUUGAAGGUGUGGUGAAACACACUGGAGGACCGAACCCAUGUAUGUUGAAAAAUGCUGGGAUGAGUUGUGGGUAGCGGUGAAAUUCCAAACGAACUUGGAGAUAGCUGGUUCUCUCCGAAAUAGCUUUAGGGUUAGCCUCGGAGGAUGGAUCAUGGAGGUAGAGCACUGUUUGAACUAGGGGCCCAUCAAGGGUUACUGAAUUCAGAUAAACUCCGAAUACCAUCGAUCUUACUCCGGGAGUCAGACAGUGAGCGAUAAGGUCCAUUGUCGAAAGGGGAACAGCCCAGAUCACCAGUUAAGGUCCCUAAAUUUAUGCUAAGUGGAAAAGGAUGUGGCGUUGCACAGACAACUAGGAUGUUGGCUCAGAAGCAGCCACCAUUUAAAGAGUGCGUAAUAGCUCACUAGUCGAGUGGCACUGCGCCGAAAAUAUACCGGGGCUAAGCAUAAUACCGAAACUGUGGGUGCACCCGUAAGGGUGCGCGGUAGGAGAGCGUUCUAAGGGCGUUGAAGGUCGAUCGUGAGGACGGCUGGAGCGCUUAGAAGUGAGAAUGCCGGCAUGAGUAGCGAAAGAUCAGUGAGAAUCUGAUCCACCGUAUGACUAAGGUUUCCUGGGAAGGCUCGUCCUCCCAGGGUUAGUCGGGAUCUAAGGCGAGGCCGAGAGGCGUAGUCGAUGACAAGCAGGUUGAGAUUCCUGCACUAGUUUAUUUUGUUUAAGCGAUGGAGGGACGCAGGAGGCUAAGGAAAGCGCACGGCUGGAAAUGUGCGCCCAAGCAGCAAGUCUGACAGCGAGUGAAAUGCUUGCAGUCUUAAGGACAAGCUGUGAUGGGGAGCGAAAUUAUAGUAGCGAAGUUCCUGAUGUCACACUGCCAAGAAAAGCUUCUAGUGAGAAAUAAACUACCCGUACCGCAAACCGACACAGGUAGUCGAGGAGAGUAUCCUCAGGUGAGCGAGCGAACUCUCGUUAAGGAACUCGGCAAAAUGACCCCGUAACUUCGGAAGAAGGGGUGCUGACCGCAAGGUCAGCCGCAGUGAAUAGGCCCAAACAACUGUUUAUCAAAAACACAGGUCUCUGCUAAAUCGUAAGAUGAUGUAUAGGGGCUGACGCCUGCCCGGUGCUGGAAGGUUAAGAGGAUGAGUUAGCGCAAGCGAAGCCCAGAAUUGAAGCCCCAGUAAACGGCGGCCGUAACUAUAACGGUCCUAAGGUAGCGAAAUUCCUUGUCGGGUAAGUUCCGACCCGCACGAAAGGCGUAAUGAUUUGGGCACUGUCUCAACGAGAGACUCGGUGAAAUUAUAGUACCCGUGAAGAUGCGGGUUACCCGCGACAGGACGGAAAGACCCCAUGGAGCUUUACUGUAGCUUGAUAUUGAGUGUUUGUACCGCUUGUACAGGAUAGGUAGGAGCCGUAGAGAUCCGGAACGCUAGUUUCGAUGGAGGCGUUGGUGGGAUACUACCUAGCUGUAUGAACACUCUAACCCGCGCCACUAAUCGUGGCGGGAGACAGUGUCAGGUAGGCAGUUUGACUGGGGCGGUCGCCUCCUAAAAUGUAACGGAGGCGCCCAAAGGUUCCCUCAGAAUGGUUGGAAAUCAUUCGCAGAGUGUAAAGGUAUAAGGGAGCUUGACUGCGAGACUGACAAGUCGAGCAGGGACGAAAGUCGGGCUUAGUGAUCCGGUGGUUCCGUAUGGAAGGGCCAUCGCUCAACGGAUAAAAGCUACCCUGGGGAUAACAGGCUUCUCCCCCAAGAGUCCACAUCGACGGGGAGGUUUGGCACCUCGAUGUCGGCUCAUCGCAUCCUGGGGCUGUAGUCGGUCCCAAGGGUUGGGCUGUUCGCCCAUUAAAGCGGUACGCGAGCUGGGUUCAGAACGUCGUGAGACAGUUCGGUCCCUAUCCGUCGCGGGCGCAGGAAAUUUGAAGGAGGAGCUGUCCUUAGUACGAGAGGACCGGGAUGGACGUUCCGCUGGUGUACCAGUUGUGCCGCCAGGCGCAUCGCUGGGUAGCUAUGAACGGCAGGGAUAAACGCUGAAAGCAUCUAAGUGUGAAGCCCCCUCGAGAUGAGAUUUCCCAUUCCUAUAUGGAAGUAAGACCCUGAGAGAUGAUCAGGUAGAUAGGCUGGAAGUGGAAGUGCAGCGAUGCAUGGAGCGGACCAGUACUAAUCGGUCGAGGACUUAACCAA
This 2916-nucleotide ribosomal RNA is filed under the name Lacticaseibacillus paracasei subsp. paracasei. RNAcentral's name for it is "23S ribosomal RNA". It matches the Rfam family "Bacterial large subunit ribosomal RNA". Lineage: Bacteria; Bacillati; Bacillota; Bacilli; Lactobacillales; Lactobacillaceae. The record is from RNAcentral.